This 376-nucleotide unclassified non-coding RNA is filed under the name uncultured bacterium. RNAcentral's name for it is "contains 16S-23S intergenic spacer region". The record is from RNAcentral.
UCUCGGCUUAUCACCGGCAGUCCCCUUAGAGUGCCCAACUGAAUGCUGGCAACAUAGGACAGGGGUUGCGCUCGUUGCGGGACUUAACCCAACAUCUCACGACACGAGUUGACGACAGCCAUGCACCACCUGUGCACGAGCCCCGAAGGGCUGCCGUAUUUCUACGACAUUCCCGUGCAUGUCAAGCCCUGGUAAGGUUCUUCGCGUUGCAUCGAAUUAAACCACAUGCUCCACCGCUUGUGCAGGCCCCCGUCAAUUUCUUUGAGUUUUAACCUUGCGGCCGUACUCCCCAGGCGGAUAACUUAAUGCGUUAGCUGCGCCACCAAAAGCCCAUGGCCCCUGACAGCUAGUUAUCAUCGUUUACGGCGUGGACUAC